UAGGGAAUCUUCGGCAAUGGGGGCAACCCUGACCGAGCAACGCCGCGUGAGUGAAGAAGGUUUUCGGAUCGUAAAGCUCUGUUGUAAGAGAAGAACGUGUGUGAGAGUGGAAAGUUCACACAGUGACGGUAACUUACCAGAAAGGGACGGCUAACUACGUGCCAGCAGCCGCGGUAAUACGUAGGUCCCGAGCGUUGUCCGGAUUUAUUGGGCGUAAAGCGAGCGCAGGCGGUUUAAUAAGUCUGAAGUUAAAGGCAGUGGCUUAACCAUUGUUCGCUUUGGAAACUGUUACACUUGAGUGCAGAAGGGGAGAGUGGAAUUCCAUGUGUAGCGGUGAAAUGCGUAGAUAUAUGGAGGAACACCGGUGGCGAAAGCGGCUCUCUGGUCUGUAACUGACGCUGAGGCUCGAAAGCGUGGGGAGCAAACAGG
Molecule: ribosomal RNA, 429 nt
Filed under: bacterium
Lineage: Bacteria
Description: partial 16S ribosomal RNA
Rfam family: Bacterial small subunit ribosomal RNA
Source: RNAcentral